UUAGAAGCUUGCUUCUAUGACGUUAGCGGCGGACGCGGUGAGUAACACGUGGGCAACCUGCCUGUAAGACUGGGAUAACUCCGGGAAACCGGAGCUAAUACCGGAUAACAUUUUCUCUUGCAUAAGAGAAAAUUGAAAGAUGGUUUCGGCUAUCACUUACAGAUGGGCCCGCGGUGCAUUAGCUAGUUGGUGAGGUAACGGCUCACCAAGGCAACGAUGCAUAGCCGACCUGAGAGGGUGAUCGGCCACACUGGGACUGAGACACGGCCCAGACUCCUACGGGAGGCAGCAGUAGGGAAUCUUCCGCAAUGGACGAAAGUCUGACGGAGCAACGCCGCGUGAGUGAUGAAGGCUUUCGGGUCGUAAAACUCUGUUGUUAGGGAAGAACAAGUACAAGAGUAACUG
Molecule: ribosomal RNA, 405 nt
Filed under: Priestia flexa
Lineage: Bacteria; Bacillati; Bacillota; Bacilli; Caryophanales; Bacillaceae
Description: bacterial SSU rRNA
Rfam family: Bacterial small subunit ribosomal RNA
Source: RNAcentral